UACGUAGGAGGCGAGCGUUGUCCGGAGUUACUGGGCGUAAAGGGUGCGCAGGCGGCGGUUCGCGUGGCGAGAUGAAAUCUCCUGGCUUACCUGGGAGGAUGGUCGCCAGACGGGAUCGCUUGAGGGUCGGAGAGGGGCGUGGAAUUCCUGGUGUAGCGGUGAAAUGCGUAGAUAUCAGGAGGAACACCUGUGGCGAAAGCGGCGCACUGGACCACAACUGACGCUGAGGCGCGAAAGCUAGGGGAGCAAACAGG
This 254-nucleotide ribosomal RNA is filed under the name uncultured bacterium. RNAcentral describes it as "partial 16S ribosomal RNA". It matches the Rfam family "Bacterial small subunit ribosomal RNA", at positions 524 to 776 of the family's 1533-position model. The record is from RNAcentral.